RNAcentral lists this transfer RNA (71 nucleotides) under Candidatus Omnitrophota bacterium. RNAcentral's name for it is "tRNA-Gly". It matches the Rfam family "tRNA". Rfam says of the family: Transfer RNA (tRNA) molecules are approximately 80 nucleotides in length. Their secondary structure includes four short double-helical elements and three loops (D, anti-codon, and T loops). Lineage: Bacteria; Pseudomonadati; Candidatus Omnitrophota. The record is from RNAcentral.
GCGGGCGUAGUUCAAUGGCAGAACGCAAGCUUCCCAAGCUUGUCAUGGCGGUUCGAUUCCGCUCGCCCGCU